UACGUAGGGCGCAAGCGUUAUCCGGAAUUAUUGGGCGUAAAGAGCUUGUAGGCGGUUUGUCGCGUCUGCUGUGAAAAUCCGGGGCUCAACCCCGGACUUGCAGUGGGUACGGGCAGACUAGAGUGUGGUAGGGGAGACUGGGAAUUCCUGGUGUAGCGGUGAAAUGCGCAGAUAUCAGGAGGAACACCGAUGGCGAAGGCAGGUCUCUGGGCCACUACUGACGCUGGAGAAGCGGAAAGCAUGGGGAGCGAACAGG
RNAcentral lists this ribosomal RNA (256 nucleotides) under uncultured bacterium. Its description in RNAcentral is "partial 16S ribosomal RNA". It matches the Rfam family "Bacterial small subunit ribosomal RNA", at positions 524 to 776 of the family's 1533-position model. The record is from RNAcentral.